This is a long non-coding RNA of Dromaius novaehollandiae (emu), 13164 nucleotides long. RefSeq lists it as uncharacterized. The record is from RefSeq and is a predicted model, not a curated record. Lineage: Eukaryota; Metazoa; Chordata; Aves; Casuariiformes; Dromaiidae. The transcript has 6 exons.
UUUUUACUUACAUAACCCAUGUACAAACCUCAGGAAUUGUGGAAGGUAUAAAAGUGGUUACUUCACGUAGAGAACUCUUACAAUAGAAAACAAAAUAAAAACAGUUUGCAAAGUUCAAAAAAUCAGGCAGAUCAUAUGACUGUGGUCAAAGUAUUACUAACAACCUCGCUUUCAUUGUGUGCUGCUUUCUCUGUGUGAAUCUUGGAGCAAUUAUUGAAGAAUAUUGCAGAAUAUGAAAAAUGUGGUGUUUGGCAUUGCCUAUUUAGUUCAGACAUUUCUACAAAAACUUUCAACUUUGAAUUUAAAUGCCACAUAUAAUAUUUUGCCGUGAUGUAAUUCUUCAAAGCAUCAUUUGUCUUCCUGUCAUUGGAAAUGGUGCAAAUCAGAACAAUGCAUUUUUGCUCAUCAAUUAACUCUCCAUAUCCACCUGCCAUGCAGUUAACUCUUGCACUUAACUACAGUUUAUUGGCAGAGAUUUUGAGACAGAGAGAUGAUGUGAUUUGCCUAAAACUUUUUUAAUAGCAACAGAUAGAUUUACAAUUAGAUGAUGAGAUUUUUCUACUUAAUGCUGAUGUUAGUGUUCAUUCCUGAAAACCAUUUUCCCUUCUCUCUCUGUGCUAAGGGUGCUGCUCCUUAUGACAACAUAAAAAAACUUUCCAUUCCUAGCACUAACAGCAUCAGCAGGGCUACACACUUAGAAACAAAUAGGGAGAAACAGAAGUAAUGUGAUACUCCUUUCUAGAUCUGCUUGAACAGGCGGUUCUGGAAAAAACAGCAAACAAACAACAAAAGCAAAACCUAAAAUUAUGACUGAAACCGUAGACACAAAUACUUCAUGGUGUCAAAGGUCUUACAGUUAAAUUUGGAUUUGGAUUCGAACCUCCUUUUCCCUCCAAAAACAAACAAACUGGGAGUGUGAGUUGCAAGACAUCCUAGAAUACUUUAGGAAAAUAAGUUAAUGAGUAUAAAAUAUCUUUAAGCAAAGGCAUUUUUCUUUGUAAAUUAGUAGCGUUUAAGGCCAAGCAGGCCAAUUAUUAUAAUGUAGACUAACUUCCUAUAGAAAACAAGCUAUAUACCCUCAAACAGGGUCUACGGAAUAUCUUUUAUAAAAAGAAAAGUCUUGAUUUACAGACUGUCUUCUUCAUGGCAUUUUAUACUGACAAAGAAACAUUACAUAUAGUAGUACACCAUAAAGAGGAGCAUGGUAAUGAGAAUGGGUCUUCUGUCAAGUGAAACUCAAGAGUGACAAGCUACAAAAUACAAGUUUUAUAAUGAAAAAUUGUGGGCAGAUCCUAGAUCAUGUUCCUAAACUUUGUUCGCAUUUUCCUUUGAAGAAGUCCAACCCAUUCUCUUGGAUGGACACUGUUGUGUUUUUUCACUGCAUGGGUUUGCUAUGCUACUUAUGCACACUGGGUACGUGUCACGGCACUUCUGUCCUGAGGGGAACAGCACCCAUCAGUGCUGUUUUUCUGGAGGCGACAAACCUAACCCUGAAAAGCAGCCACGCGAAGGAUGAGCAUAUGCAGCAGUGCCAUCUAAUGGUGAAACCCGUGCUCUACGGCUUUCAUGGGUUUGAAGAGGCUAAGCACUCGAGCAUACCACGUGCUGGCAGGACCUGUACCCAGCUGUGUGAAUUACUGCAGGCACAGAGAAAUAAAUUGAUUUAAAAAAGGAAAAAGCAUGGUCGUUGGCCUGGGCCGGUGUUCCUCUACCCAAAACUGCUCACCAGUGGAUAAUUUUGUGCAACAUAGUGCAACAGUGAUCACUGCGUAAAGACAAUUUUGAAAUUUGCCCUGCUACUAAUGUCACAGCAAGAAGUCAUACCUGGGCAGUGGUGGUCGUCCUCCACCCAGCUGCAGACGACACCAGCACUCCACAGUAAGGGGGGACAGGAAAAAGAUCUGGCUAAUUCCUCUAUCAUCAUCUGGCUGAAUAAUGUCCCGGCCCUGCAUCACCAGUGGUAGCAGCCACAGGGCAGCUGUGGCAUUGGUCACCUCACUGUGGAACACCCCAUUUCACUUGGAAUAGUAAUGGACUUCAAGGAGGUCCUCUGAAGCUGGCUACUCUUCACUCAGAGGCAAUGAAUGAGAUCCCCUUCAGAAGAGGAAAAAAAAGCCUGUUUUCAUAACCCUCAGUCAUUACUGGCAUGCUUAUAAAUAAUUUUGCUGAGGCGAUAGUGUGGAGAACAGACAAGGCACUGUUUACUCCAAAGGCCUGCUGAAGAGGGGAAGGUAUCACUGUUCACAGAUGGGGAGUGGGACCGGGCCUAGGCCGGGUAGUCUCUCCCUGCCCGUGGACACACGCCCCAGCUUGUGCAGGAUAUGAUAACAAUGCCUUUGUCACCACCUCCGCUAUUAUCUGCUACCAACCACUUGCGGCCUAAACUAAUGUCAAGAGCCUGACCCACACCAAAGCUGCCUCAUAAAUCAAGUGAAAAGGGGAAUUAAUAUCUACAACUACAUGCUAAUCAGGCAUGAGGACCCAUGAUGGGGGGCCUCCACUAUUUAGUUCUCUAAAUCUGAAGGGUGGAGACCUUUGUCACAAGUUUUCAUUAAUUUCUUUUCCCUUUCCUUUUGAAAACCCAGUCAGCGGGUUGAGCCCAGAGGAGUGUGUCAGAGUGACAUAGGUUCUGGCUAGUGAUAAGGAUGCCAAGAAACCUAAUCACAAUAGACAUGCGCCUUAGAAACAUAUAAAAUGUGACAAUAACAACAGCUCUUUGGAGCUCCCUCUCAGCUGGUCUGGGACCCCCCCUUAUAGCAUCCUGCACACUUGAGACCCUCGCCCGACAUGGAACAGGUCGUAUUACCCCUGCUUGCUCUUUUUCUAUCUAGUUCAGCCCUGCAUUGCCUACCAGCAGUGUUCUGGCUUAAGAAAAUUGGAUGAGAAGCUCUAGAGAUUCUGUACUUUAACCAGCUAAAACGGUAACAAAUGAAAGAUUUCAUGAUGCUUCCCUGUGUGAAGAAAGCGCAGUGAAAUUUUAUGAAGCUUCAGUCUGCCAGAAGCCAGUUUACAGAAGGAUCCAUGAGAUCUAUUGCCUGUGUUGAUAGUGGUGUAUUACAAUGUCAAUACUCUAUGUUUUUCACUUUGAAGACUGCCUGCAAGCUAUAACAAGCAAACAUGUUUAUAGCAUCACUGUGAAAAUCCUUUUGCUGUAACCCAGUCCUAUCUGCCGUAAGCUGCAAGAAAGGUGAGCAAAACACCAGCCUCUGCCAAUUUGGUGUAGCAAGAAAAAUGACUGUUUGGGGUCAGAAAAGUACUCUGCAACAUCAGAGAAGACACAGCUGAGGGGAAGGUCAGCCUGUGUGCAUAUCAUGAUUUUUCUUAAGACGACGGAUGUUUCUUCUCAAAAGACACCGUGGCCCUGUGUGUGAGAUCAACUUUGCUUUUGUUUGAGAGAAGAGCCUGCAAAGUUCCCUCCAAAGUGAAGAGCCCUUCAUGUGUACUUUCUCAUCUACCUCCAUCUGCUGCAUCUGUCCUAAGUCCAUCACAUCACCUGGCUGCCUCAUCUGAACAUUUCUAAUUCUGAGGAGACAUCCAGAAUUUGACAUGCGUCUCUACCCCAAUGCUUUCAUAGAGUCACAGAAAAGCUUAGGCUUGAAGGGACCCCUGGACUUCAUUUGGGCCAACCUUCUUUCGAAAGCAGGGCCCUAGGUUAGGUUACCCAGGGCCCUGUCUGAAGGACAUUCCACCACUUCUCUGGACAACCAGUUCCAAUGUUUGAUUGUUCUCACAGUGAAGAAUUUUGUUCUCAUGUCUAGACGGCAUACCCCCUGUAGCAACUUGUGCCCAUUGCCACUUGUGCAUCCUUGUGAAGAGAGUACCUCUCUUUACCUCUCUAUAACUACCUUUCAGGUGUUGGAAAAUUUUGAUUAGAUUCCUCUGGGGCCUUCUCUUCUCUAGGCUGAACAAAUCUAGCUCCUUCAUCCUUUCUUUAUGUGUUAAGUUCUCCAACACUCUAAUCAUUUUGGUGAUUAUCAUCCACUGGGCCCUCUCCAGUUUUUCAAUGUCUCUCCUGAGCUGGGGGAAACCAAAACCGGAUGAAGUAUUCCAAGUCUGACCUGACAGGUGCCAAGGAGAGUGAAAUAAUCACAUCCCUUUAUCUGCUGGCUGUACUCUUGCUGAUACUGCUCAGCACACAGUUUGCCUUUUUUUGCUGCCAGGGCACACUGCUGGCUCAUGUUCUGCUUGCUGUCUGUCCAGACCCCAAGCACCUUUUCAGCAGAGCUGCUCCUUGGCCAGCCAGUCCCCGGCCUGGCCUGCUGCUUGGGAUUAUUCCAUCCCAGCUGCAGGACUUCACAUUUAUCUUCAUUACACUUCAAACAUUUAUCAUUUUAACCUCAUAUUAAACAGCAAUCUUGUUGGCUCAGUCUUUCAGCCUGCCUAGGUCUCUCUGUGUGGUGGCUCAUCCUUCCAGCCUAUCUGCCUCUUCCCCAAAUUUGAUGUCAUCCACAGACUUGGUGAGGGCAUUUGAUCCUGUCAUCCAGAUCAUUUGCAAAUAUGUUGAAAAGUAUUGGACCCAAUACUGAACUCUGAGGAAUACCACUUGUGACUGGCUGUCAAUUUGAUUUUGAGCCACGAAUUAACCAUCACACUUUGAGCUUAACAUUUCAGCCAGUUUUGACCCAUCUCAUUUUGAUCUAUCCUUUGGAUUUUGAAAGAGAUCAAUGGUGUCAGUAUAGAUCUAUGGAUAGCAAAGAGUCCAUCAUACAAGGCAGACUGAAAUUUCAUGUGGGAGAAGGAGACUACGAAAACUAAUGAAUUUAGGAGGAACACUUUGAAGUGCUGAGGAAGAGGAACAUAAUCUGAAUCAAGAAAAUGGAGGGUGAGGGAGGAGUCCUCAAAGUGAGAGUUGCGAGCAAUGUGCAUAUUUUGGUGUUGGAGGAGGAAGCUGGCAAUAGGAAGAAAAGGCUCAUCAGGUAUGAGGAGCUGGAUGGCAGUAGGUGGCUACGAUUUCCUUUGUAAUGGAGAGAAAUGCCUCUGAGGGGUGGCAAACACAGAAGGCAACCUGUGAGCAGACAGGAUGCAAAAAGAAAGGAAAAAGGAUGUUAGGAAAAGGACUGGGGAAGGUAAGGAAAGAAAUAAAUACUGAAGAGAGAAAUGAAGGAGUGUGAAAACUGAAAGUGAUAGGGUAGGCAAUAGUGAGAGUCACCAAAUGAAAAGAAUUGAUAAAAUGGAAAAAAAAAGCAUACCCAAGCUGUAAAUCUAUAGCGUAGUUUGAGUACUGUAUUGCUUUAGCACAGCAUAGCAAUAUCAGGCUAAUUCUUGGAGUUCAAAACAGUCCUAUAAAUCCAUAUAUCUUUCUUGAGAUCGUCUAAGAAAUGUUAGGAAUUUGUAUUUUUCUUGCUAUCUCUGAAGCUGUUUUUUGACACCCACAAUCAUUGUCACGUUCUGAUGACAGAUGGAGCAGCCUGCUGCGUAAAUGCACCUCUUCAUCGUUGGGACCUCUGUUACAGUCCUCCUGUGUCUCCCAUGCUGUAAUAAGUGCUAAAAUUUUCAGCUGGAGCCCACAGAACUGUUGGUAUAACAAAUAACAGGGUGUAAUAAUAGAUUUUUGGCUUAAUCUAGCUCCCACUGAAGUUAUUGCAAGAUUUGCCAUUGACGUCAAUGGGAAGAGAAUUGGGCCCAUGAUAGGAACUACAGUAGUAAUAACAAUACGUUUGACUUAUAUAGCUCUUUCUCGGGUUGCCAGAGGCCUUUGGACACUCCAUGUAAAUGAAUACAAAACAAUAAAAGAGAUUAAAAUGUCUCUGAUUCCUGCAGGAUUAGAACAGACAAACAGUGAAAAUCAAAGUAUGCCUAUAUAUGGGCUAUUUCUUAUGCAAUGGUUCUAACUGUGUCAUCACACAGUUUAUAGCAGGUCAUCAUGUGCUUCAUCUCCGUAAAGCUGUUACGGAUUGAUCCAUGAAACCACUGCCUGUUUAGAAUUUUCUUAGCAUGCAAAUAAGCACAAAAAUGGAUAUUGAUAAAAGAGAAUAUUUUUAGGCUUGCAAAUCAGCCAGAAUCAGUCAAAUUCUUGGCCCCUGCCAUGUGCUGCUGAGUAGUGUCAGAUGCUCACACAUACACAAAUUGACAUUUACAAGGCAUGUCGUGCUUAGAGCCAAGUUCAGAAAUAAAUCGCCUCUUUUGAUAGGUUCACCAGAGCCUCCUAAGUACACCAGAGCCUCCUAAGAUUCAUUUAUUGUUUGCUACUGGGGGGACUGGAAUGCUCCUGGACACAGAAUGAAAAUCCAUUCAGCACAGCAUAAGGGAAACUGCAUAAACUGAAGUACAAUAACUGUGAAGUUGCAGUUUCAUAGGGUGACAUAUUCAGCGUGCUGCAUGUGGAGGAUUAGGUGCUUGGCUGUCAUUAAUGGUAAUGUGGGCUGCCUAAUUACCUCCAUGUGCAUUCUGCUGAAACCCUACUCCAAUAAAUACCAAUGCCGCUUACCUGGGGAGCGUAGAGGAGACGGGAUCUGAUCCCUGGAGCUUUGCUCGUAAAGCAUACAGCCCUGAAAGGAUUUCCUUCAACUACACAGGGGUGAUUCUGACUUCCGAUGGAUCUCCCCCCAAAACACCUAGUGUUUCGGUGCAGCGGGAAGGUGCAGAUCCUAAUUUUGCCUCUUCCCUUCUCCAGAGCAAACCUGAGCUUAACUUCUGCAAGUCCCUGUAGACAAUCUAUAUGCAUUUAUACUACAAGCAAGAGGAUAGCCUCACCUGAUCAGAUUUAUCAAAUUGUUCAAAAAUCCAGCACGCUGUUCUUUAGGCUGAUAAGUACAGUUUAUGGAAUCUUAAGAGAAAUAUAUAGUUUACUUAGACAAUUGCACAUUUACUAUAUAAUAAUCACAUAUUACAAAUAUUAGAAACUGCAGCCACAAGCUUACUCCUCAGAGCCUGCAAAUGCUAUCAUAGCAUCUUCAUGAAGCUCUGAGAGUCAGUGUUUGCCAAAGUCGUAUUUACUAGGCUUUGUUCGCUUCCCCAGACAGUUUUGCCUCCUGGAGAAGUUACAGACACUGACUUUGCAGACAAUGCCAGAUCCCAGUAGCAUUGUCUUUUCACAGAUAAUUGUCAUAUGGGUCUGGAUGUUUAAAAAUGAUGAUCUCUCCCACAGGGUGCUGUAAUAUUUAUCAAGGGAGCAAGAGAAGAAAAAGCCUUACCGCAAACUGGCCUAGUUAGGCAAGAUGGGGUCUGCGGUGAGAGGUCCUUUUCUCUACUACAAUAGCUGAAAACAUUGUAAGAAACAGCAGAAGCCUUUUUCAUAGUGUGAUGGGCUGAAGAAGAGCUUGUGUUUCUGCCAACUUGUCUAUUUUUUCAGACAUGAGGAAGGUCUUGAGUUGUUGUGGUGCUACUGCUAGCUAACUAGUAAUCUUGCUGCUGUGAUGGUCUCUGUAACUGAAUCCAAAGAAGAGCUAGGGUGCUUCGUAGCUUGGCUGUUUAUUCCAGUUUUAUCAGUUGGUCUAAUAAAAGAUACUACCUCACUCUAAAAACCUUGCUGUACUUAUAUCCAUGGUUCAUAGCAGCUUCAAUAGUGUUACUGGUAAGAAAGCAAGAGAGAAGUUAGGAUAUUAGAAUUUUUAUACAAGACAGCAGAAAUAGGACCUAAGUAAAUAAUCUGCUUAUAUAUUUCAGAAGUAUUUAUCCCAUUUUAAACUGAUCUGUGUGCUCCAAAACCUAGUAUGGAUGAAAACUGUGUGUGUGUGACCUGAUCUCUGCUUCAGAAAUGACAGUUCUAACAGCUGUGGCCAGGAUGGCUGGUCUGAUUUUAAGAAGUUUAGAGAUCUUAAUCCAUACUGGUUGGUUAAUGCCUCAAGAAUUUCUAGCAGUGAUGGUUAACAAUAAGCUGAUGUCGCUUACAGUUAUUUGAUACCUCUGGUUAUGGUGAGUUUUGAAGGCCUACAGGGAGGAUUUGUGUAAUUACAUACCUGAGUGCCAGCUGUCAUUUUCGGAAUGAAGUGGUCCUGAAAUUAAUUAUUAAUUACAUUGUCACAGCUCAUAAUUAUUUUAUGUGAUUGUUACCAGCCAUGAAGUGUGUUGACUUGACAGACUGGAAGACUGAGUACUUCCCAUCUAUGCAGGCGUCUGUAUUGCAAACACAGCCUGCUGCCUAGCAAUAAAGGCAGGCAAAUCUCUAAGUCUUUAGAUAAUGCUUAUAUUUUAAGGGUCUAUUAUCAAGACAAGUGGGAAAUAAGAAACUGAAUUAGCUUGUCUUCAUCCCUCCAUUAUACUUGUUUAUAAAGGCAGUGGGUAAACAAAUGCCUAGCUGUGAAGGUCUCAGAUGCAGUACUCUGUCUCGCUUGAGAUGACCAUGGAAAGUCUAGGGGCAGGGCUGGGAGAGCUUACCCAGCAAGGAAACCCUCCUGGCCCUGCAACCCUUCCCACCUGCUCUUAUAUAACCUGCUUUUAAAUAUUUCUCCCCUUUCGAGGCCUGAAGGUAGAAUCACCUUGUGAAAAAAAAGAAGGGAAUGGGUUGACAGAGCAUCUGUCCCACCCUUUGUCUUUUCUGCAAAAGAAUUUUAGACAUUUUAGAGACAGAGGCUGUUGGGAGUUUGUCUGAAGUGCUGAGAAGCCUAGAGGUGAAAUGGCUUGAGAACAGUGCGUCAGGGAGGACAGGAACAGCCUGAAGCUCAAAGAUAUUUACUCUUGCCUAUUGGUGCGCUAGUAAUUGUAACCAAAUAGUUCCCAGUCCAUUUUUAUUAGCAGGCUUUAUGUGUUUAGGGAUAAAUGUUAAACUCUACAAUUUGGUGUGAAUGUCAGCUGUUGAUGAAAAGCAGAUCCCAGCUGGGACAGCGAGGACAUUGCAUUCAGGCUGUGUCUGAAGUACAUGAGCAGAGCUGUGUGGGAGAGAUUCAGUUGAAUCUAUUGCUCAAAUCCUGCUCCGGCUGCUUCUCCCCUGCCACUUCAGCCAAAGUCAUUUGAUCUGCUUGGGCAUUGUGGCCCCAUUCUGCCCUCAGAAAUACCUCUCUUAAGGCAGGUUUUUUUCUCCCCUGCCUUCCCUUUUCACCUUUAUUUCAACCCACAGCAUUUUCUACUUUAUCUUCUUCGCCCCUUGUCCUUGAAGAGAUCUACUGGACUUGACAUCUGCAACCUGAUGUAAUGAUGACUUGGACUAAGCCUACACAGUGAAAUGGAGGGUGGUAGGAAGAUCUCAGAGCUCAUAUGGAGCCCAUGUGAUGGCAGCUGGCACUCUGCAGAGCUGCUAGCUCAAAGCCCAAAGCAGCGUAGCUGGACGAGCAUGGUGCAGCCCUUGAGCUCAUCAGCCCUGCAAGGCAGCACGUGCACUGCAGGGUUUGGUGGCUUUUUGUGCAGCUGCCUUGGUUGCUUGGGUGCCCACUGAGCCAGCUACCAUGGCACAGCGCGGAUGUGCCCACAGUUCUCCCUGUACACACUUUUUUAUCCAGCCUUCCUCUUGGAGAUCUUUUCUUGCCCCUUCCGCCCCAGUCCCCUAUCUCCUCUCUCUCUUUGCUUACAGGAUAAAAAAGAGAAAAGAACAUAUGUUUUUGGCAGUCAGGAUGGAUUAAAACUGAGGGUUGUGACCUCUUAAGACUGGAGAAGUAAAGGUUUGUCAGGUCUUCCGAUUUUAUUUGGGCAAAACUGUACUCAUAUUCUGUACUCUAUUCUUCUUCAAGCAGUUACUGCUGGUCACUAGAUACUGCUGUAAGGUGACCUGUCACCUGCCCUAAAGGGGCAAUUCUUGUGUUUCAUAAACUUUGACCCUGAAAUUAAAAAAAGAAGAAAAAUAACAAGGACUCACUUUUACUAGUACUCUUUAGAAUUUCAUGAGUGCUGAGCCAGUUUUACAGUUUUUACUGCAUUAGACACGUUCUUUUUUGUGAGUGGCUUUAAAUGCAGCUCCAUCAUUUGACUGAGACUUAAAAAUGUGACAUGGCUAACAAGUACAUGCAAAACCAGAACCUGGAAUGAGAGUUAGCUUAUAUAUAAAUUGCAUCCUUGAAACUUCUGAUAUACUGGGAGAGCCACAUAUUGUUCUGCAGAAAAAAGGAGUUAUAUCUUACCAUGCCGUAAUAACUCACAAGUUAAUUCCCACCACGUGCAUGUUUAAAUGUUCUGCACAAACCACAAGAUGUCAGUGUGGCUACAUGAAAAUUUAAUCAGUUCUGCACACAGAUUGAUUCAGUAUGAUUUUUAACUCUAAUAUCUCUGGUAAUAUAAUCUCUUUAUUUACUUCCAGAAUUUGUCCUGCGCUUUUCCCCUCAUAAUUAUAAAUCUCCUUUCUCUUUGCAGUGUCUCCUUCACACAAGGCAGAUAAAAAACAAUGUUAGGGAGUAUAAUUUAUCCCUUUUUAAAAUGAUUUUUAAUAUUGCUGUGCCCUUGAUCUUUAUGUUUUGGCUACCAUUUUGCUAUGCUAAGACUUGCAAUGAUACACACUGUCAGCAGAGAUCAGUUGUAGUACUACAAACCAUUUUCUUGAAGCAAUUUGUGCAGUAAGCCCACUAUCUACUAGACAAGUCAUGGACUACUUUCUUUCCCUGUUCCCUUAUUUGAUACCUGUGGUACAGUUUAAAUUUCUACAUGCAAUCCCUGAGACUUUUCUCCAACAAUUAAUGUAUAUCUUCAGUUGCCAUUGGUAUCUGGGGCACUGCAAAUGCUCAGUUAAUGGUGCCCAACCUUAUCUGCUAUGCAGCUAGAGCCCAGUUUUGGAAUCUUUCCUGCUGAUUUCAUUGAUGUGACGGUUUUUUCUGGCCACAUGCAUGUGUGAGACAUAUCUCUAGGUCAGCCCCUGCCUUGUAAGAGACUGCUGGGGCUGGUACCAGCCAACACCGACCAAGUUACUAUCUCCAAACUGCAUCAAUAAGACUAUAGCUGCAAGUGUCUGGAAGGCUGUGUCUGGCCCACAGGGUGCUAGUGAGACUAUGCCGAAUCUUGCAGAAGAUGGUUAUCACCCUGAAUGAGCAUCCUGAGAUUAUGGGUCUUUUCAGACUCAUUUUUUAUUUCAGAUCAAAGCCUACCAAAGCCAUACAUUACACCAGCACUACUGAAGCAAUUGGCUUUGAAUAGUUGUAGAGGAGGGAUUAGUGCCAAAAAACAUGAGUUCCUAAGACAGCAUGUGGGUACAUUUUAAAUACCAAGAAGCCAGACAGAGGCAGGGCAGGACAUCUGUGUUGCCCACCGGCUUGGUGCUGCCAGUGCUGUGUUAGAGCCACUCACUUUCUCCGGGGCAAAGUGUGCGCUUCUGCCAUGCUGAAUAUCUGCUGACUGAUGUGUCACUGCCUAGUGACAAUGUGUGCAAACCCAGUGUCAAGCCUCCCCUCAGUCACUCAGCUUCUAGCAGGUCUGAUUUACACCUGAGUUACACCAGGUCUUAGACGGAGUAUAAUAAAUGGUAUAGCUGAACUGCUGUGUUCAAGGUCAGACUUGAUGUUCUGAGGUGCCUGAUUUGCUCUUUGACAGCAAGUGAAUAUUCUGGAUUUAUCUUAUCACUAUAAAAUGGUCUAUUCUUUACAAACAAUGUUUUCAUCCAUAUUUUAUCUUCUUAAUCCAGGACCUUUUUCCCUAACUGGGGAAAGACAAUUUUGAUUAUACUAUAGCAUUCCUUGUCUAUCAGUGACUCUGUCCCUGCAAACACCAUGCUAAUUCUCUGCUUUACAGUCAUCAACAAAGAUAAAUUAGUUCCAAGAAGAGCUGAAGGGAUCAGUCGUGUGAACUUGGUACUGCAGCUUACUAAAUUACUGCAUGUCAGAGGAGAUGUGGUGCCUGGCCAGGAGGUAUCGCCCGGAGCACGCUGGGGUUAAGCUCACUUGUUCUAACAACCCGUGGGGUUACGUGUUUUCCUUUGCAGACUGGGGGAAGCUUCGUGGAGGAUCAUGGUCAGUUAUGGCUGCUGACUGGUAAUACGCGGUAGCUUGUUACACCACUGGACUUUGUUACCUUCAGCCUGUACCUCAUAUUAACACAAUAGCACAAUGCCCUUUUAGCUGGUCUGCUUCUGCAGCCUGCAACAGGAUAUAGAUAGAGAUAGGUAUCUCCACUGUAAGACCAUAUUAUAUUUUUAUAAUAUGUUUUUAAAGUCCAGGCACCUUUGCAUAUAAGAAAAGGUGGUCAUAUUUCUCUGGCUAUAGAUAUUAGGCAAUAUGUUCUUUAAAGCAUCAAAUUUAAUGCAGUAACUAUAAUGACACAAAUUGAAAAUAUUUUCAACAUGUAGCACAGACAUUCUGUGCAAUUCCUAAAGCACUUUCUUUUAUCAGUAUAUUAACAACUUUCUGGGAUAUCAGAUAGGUUGCACUUUGGGUCUGACAUUCAACUUCCAUUAGCAAAGACCACAGAAAAGUGAGAUAAAAUAGAAAAGGAAAUCAGCUGGAAAGAGAAGAAAUGUUCUAAUGUAAAAGAGGAGUAUUUUGACUUUUUAAAUACGAUAAUAUUUGUGGAAAAAAACCAUCUGUCUAAUGUCAGCAGGGAUCAUGCCAUUGCUAGGGUGGCUAUACAGCAGCCUUUAAUAUCUGAAAGCUGUAGAUGGCAGUAAAGGACUGCAAAUAGUUGUUUGGUGGCUAGAUGUGCAACUUGAUUCAUCUUAGAAAUUGGUCUCAUUUUUGAUUCAGUUUGCUGUUUUGUAGCUGUGGAAGAUACUGAAUUUACUAUUAUUAUUUACAAUGAAACUUUACACUGUUAUUAUCAAGGCUUGCUGGUGUGUUCACUCUGCUGACUGGAUUGCAGUUAAUUUGUCCUCAAGUGGCAGUCUUCCUUCUAAGCCUAUUCCAGCACGUAUAAUGAAUGGUAACAGCUGAUAAUAAUGAUGUAGUCUAGUAGCAGAUGUAAAAAGAAAUGUUCAUUUUUUUUAAUUAGCCCUUUGCAAUAUCACUGAUCCAUAGAUUUAUGUGUCUGAUGAUUUUUCUCUCUGUUGUUGUAAGGCUUUACUUGAACCAUUGCUUUACUUGAACAUGUUGGGAGAUUUUUCAAAGAACAGAGGGCAGCUACGUACCCAGGUUCUGGCAAUUAUCUGAAAACCUUCUGAGAUGUCGCUUAGCUAUGCUGAGGCUAAAUCAUGUCUUACAAGACUGACUGGAAACAAGUCUAGGCCCUGGCCUUGCAGCCAUGUGGUUUAGUAGUCUGACUUGAGACACUGCGUAGGAUUAGUCACAUGCAAAAAGUAUUUGUAGAACUGAUGCUUAUGAUGGAAUACAAAACCCAGAAAGACCUACUUCCAAAUAAUAAAAUAAGAUGCAUAACAUUUUU